UCGCUGUAGCAGUUGUCAGAAAUAUGAGAUUUAAUAAAGUUUGUGUGUUUGGAUGCUUUAGAGUGGAAUGAGAUAUUGUUCAACAAAUAUACGGAGAAAGUAGAUGGGAAUAUAUACAUUUGAGUUUUUCAGAAGUUUUCAUCAGAAGUACGCAAUACAUCGAUCCUCAGUUGACUACUAACUGAUUGGGAAUCAAUUCAAAGUUUAACUGAGAAGAAAUUAUAAUUAUUACAACUCAUUAAUUCAAAAGUAAACUACCCGUAAACGGAGAUUUUAAAGGUCGACGCUUACUGCCACUAGUUACACCUGGUUUUCUUCUGGAGAUGGACGUCGGCUGAACUCUUAUUGAAGCACCAGCUCGAUUGCAUAG
This is a long non-coding RNA of Diorhabda carinulata, 370 nucleotides long. RefSeq lists it as uncharacterized. The record is from RefSeq and is a predicted model, not a curated record. Lineage: Eukaryota; Metazoa; Arthropoda; Insecta; Coleoptera; Chrysomelidae. The transcript is spliced from 3 exons.